GAUGGCCGCUCCCACGAUUGUGGGGGAGGUCUCCACUGGGGAGCGGCAGAGGAAAUUCGGUCGAAAAAGAGAUAAAGUUGAAGGAAAUAAAAUUGGCACGGAGGCUGGGAAAGUAGUUUCCCUAAAGGAGUCUUAGAAAUAGGGUUGGUCUGGAACCUAAGGGGCGGAGCCGACGCGUAGAGCCGCUUUGCGCGUGCGCAUCACCUAGGCGGUUAGAUUUGAAUACUUCACUGAGGCUAGUCGGGCGUUGUGAGCGGACUGCUAGAGGCGGCGGUCUGUUUCCGCUCUGAGGAAACUCAGAGCGUGUGGACCCCAAACAAGUCUGCGCAAAAUUUGUCGAGGAGGUUUGCCGCGGCAGAAAAGUUUUCUUCAAAAAUGGAUGGGGUGUUUUCAGAGGCUAAUGAAGAAAAUGACAAUAUAGAGAGACCUGUUAGAAGACGGCAUUCUUCAAUUUUGAAACCCCCAAGGAGUCCUCUUCAGGACCUCAGAGGUGGGAAUGAAACAGUUCAGGAAUCCAAUGCUUUGAGAAAUAGGAAAAACUCUCGUCGAGUCAGCUUUGCAGAUACUAUAAAGGUAUUCCAGACGGAGUCUCAUAUGAAAAUAGUGAGAAAGUCAGAAAUGGAAGAAGCAGGAGAACAUCUUCUUUUGAUACAGAAUAAGAAAUUAGAAGAUAAUUACUGUGAAAUUACUGUUUUCAAUUAUAGAACAUAACCAUGAAAGGAAACAUGCAAAUGACCAGACAGUCAUUUUUUCAGAUGAAAACCAGAUGGACCUGACAUCAAGUCACACUGUAAUGAUUACCAAAGGCCUUUUAGAUAAUCCCAUAAGUGAAAAGUCCACCAAGAUAGAUACCACAUCAUUUCUAGCUAAUUUAAAGCUUCACACCGAGGACUCAAGAAUGAAAAAAGAAGUAAAUUUUUCCAUGGAUCAAAACACUUCUUCAGAAAAUAAAAUAGAUUUCAAUGACUUCAUAAAAAGAUUGAAAACAGGAAAAUGUAGUGCUUUUCCUGAUGUGCCUGAUAAAGAAAAUUUUGAGAUACCUAUUUAUUCCAAGGAACCGAACAGUGCCUCUUCUACACAUCAAAUGCAUGUAUCUCUUAAUGAAGAUGAAAAUAACAGUAAUAUUACUAGGAUCUUUAGAGAAAAAGAUGAUGGGAUGAAUUUCACCCAGUGUCAUACAGCCAAUAUUCAGACAUUGAUUCCCACAUCCAGUGAGACCAACUCACGGGAAUCUAAAGGUAAUGAUAUUACAAUUUAUGGCAAUGACUUUAUGGACUUGACAUUUAACCACACUUUGCAGAUUUUACCUGCAACAGGUAAUUUUUCUGAAACAGAAAAUCAAACUCAGAAUGCCAUGGAUUUAACAACAGGUUAUGGAACUAAAGCUUCAGGAAAUAAAACAAUUUUUAAGAGUAAACAAAAUACUGCUUUUCAAGACCUUUCCAUAAACUCUGCAGACAAAAUACAUAUUACCAGAAGUCAUAUUACGGGGGCAGAAACUCACAUAGUCUCACAGACUUGUAAUCAGGAUGCCAGAAUAUUAGCCAUGACCCCAGAAUCUAUAUGUUCUAAUCCAUCUAUUCAAGGUUAUAAGACUGUUUUCUAUUCUAGUUGUAAUGAUGCCAUGGAAAUGACCAAAUGUCUCUCAAAUAUGAGAGAGGAGAAAAAUUUGCUAAAGCAUGACAGUAAUUAUUCUAAAAUGUAUUGCAAUCCAGAUGCUAUGUCUUCUCUCACAGAGAAAACUAUUUAUUCCGGAGAGGAGAACAUGGACAUUACCAAGAGUCAUACAGUUGCAAUAGAUAAUCAGAUUUUUAAACAAGAUCAAUCAAAUGUGCAAAUAGCAGCUGCACCAACACCUGAAAAAGAAAUGAUGCUCCAAAAUCGUAUGACCACAUCAGAAGAUGGGAAAAUGAAUGUAAAUUGUAACUCAGUUCCUCAUGUAUCUAAGGAAAGAAUACAGCAGAGCCUGUCAAAUCCUUUGUCUAUUUCAUUGACUGAUAGAAAGACUGAACUCUUAUCAGGUGAAAAUACGGAUUUGACUGAAAGUCACACAAGUAACUUAGGAAGUCAGGUUCCUCUUGCAGCUUAUAAUCUAGCACCGGAGAAUACCAGUGAAUCUCACUCUCAGAGCAAAAGCUCUUCAGAUGAAUGUGAAGAAAUUACCAAAAGUCAUAAUGAACCAUUUCAACGAUCAGACAUAAUAGCCAAAAACAGCUUAACCGACACCUGGAACAAAGACAAAGAUUGGGUUUUGAAGAUUUUGCCCUACCUUGAUAAAGAUUCUCCUCAGUCAGCUGAUUGUAAUCAGGAGAUAGCAACAAGCCAUAAUAUAGUCUACUGUGGUGGAGUUCUUGAUAAACAAAUAACUAAUAGAAAUACAGUAUCAUGGGAACAAUCUUUGUUUUCUACCACAAAGCCAUUAUUUUCAUCAGGACAGUUCUCUAUGAAAAAUCAUGAUACUGCUAUAAGUAGUCAUACAGUGAAAUCUGUACUAGGCCAGAAUUCUAAACUGGCUGAGCCACUGAGGAAAAGUUUAAGCAAUCCCACACCUGACUAUUGCCAUGACAAGAUGAUUAUAUGUUCAGAGGAAGAGCAAAAUAUGGAUCUAACAAAGAGCCACACUGUUGUCAUUGGAUUUGGUCCUUCUGAACUACAAGAACUUGGUAAAACUAAUUUAGAACACAAUACUGGCCAGCUAACAACAAUGAACAGACAGAUAGCUGUAAAAGUUGAAAAAUGUGGUAAAAGUCCCAUAGAAAAAAGUGGAGUACUUAAAUCUAACUGUAUUAUGGAUGUGUUAGAGGACGAAAGUGUACAGAAACCUAAAUUUCCAAAGGAAAAGCAAAAUGUCAAAAUUUGGGGAAGGAAAAGUGUUGGUGGACCAAAAAUUGAUAAGACUAUUGUAUUUUCAGAAGACGAUAAGAAUGAUAUGGAUAUCACUAAGAGUUAUACAAUAGAAAUAAACCAUAGACCUUUAUUAGAGAAACGUGAUUGUCAUUUGGUGCCAUUGGCAGGAACUUCUGAAACUAUUUUAUAUUCAUGUGGGCAGGAUGACAUGGAGAUCACUAGAAGUCACACAACUGCCUUAGAAUGUAAAACUGUCUCACCAGAUGAAAUAACUACUAGGCCUAUGGACAAAACUGUAGUGUUUGUAGAUAAUCCUGUUGAACUAGAAAUGACAGAGUCCCAUACUGUUUUCAUUGACUACCAA
This 3211-nucleotide small RNA is filed under the name Pan troglodytes (chimpanzee). RNAcentral describes it as "processed transcript". Lineage: Eukaryota; Metazoa; Chordata; Mammalia; Primates; Hominidae. The record is from RNAcentral.